Molecule: transfer RNA, 64 nt
Filed under: Orthetrum testaceum
Lineage: Eukaryota; Metazoa; Arthropoda; Insecta; Odonata; Libellulidae
Description: tRNA-Ile
Source: RNAcentral
AAUAAGAUGCCUGAUAAAAGGAUUAUUUUGAUAGAAUAAAUCAUGUAGCAAGCUACUCUUAUUA